UACGUAGGGGGCUAGCGUUGUCCGGAAUCAUUGGGCGUAAAGCGCGUGUAGGCGGCCCGGUAAGUCCGCUGUGAAAGUCGGGGGCUCAACCCUCGGAAGCCGGUGGAUACUGUCGGGCUCGAGUACGGAAGAGGCGAGUGGAAUUCCUGGUGUAGCGGUGAAAUGCGUAGAUAUCAGGAGGAACACCGGUGGCGAAGGCGGCUCUCUGGACGGUGACUGACGCUGAGACGCGAAAGCGUGGGGAGCAAACAGG
RNAcentral lists this ribosomal RNA (253 nucleotides) under uncultured bacterium. RNAcentral describes it as "partial 16S ribosomal RNA". It matches the Rfam family "Bacterial small subunit ribosomal RNA", at positions 524 to 776 of the family's 1533-position model. The record is from RNAcentral.